UGUUUCUUACUGUCAGGACGUAGAUGGACUAGUAGAAGAGGUUCAAGAGGCAAGAAGAAUCAGAUUAUUGCAUUAGCCAAGCAAGGUUAUGGCCAUGGAAUAUGAACUUCGUGCUCUAAGGGAUCAAAUUCAAGAAAAAUCUAUAUUUUCAAUUCAGUUUCAGAAAGAGCUAACAAUGAGCAAGUGGGACAAGGAGAAUAAAUCUCAUUCAUAUAAGUUAGACGGUUCUGAAGCUUUGGGUUCAUACUUGCAAGUCAAGCCGUGCUCGAAUGAAGUGCUGCAGGUAUCAAAAUGUUCAUUUCAGUGGUAUCGCCUCUCAUCUGAAGGCAGCUGGAGGGAAGUUAUUUCAGGUACCGUUCUUCUAA
Long non-coding RNA from Vicia villosa (hairy vetch), 365 nucleotides. RefSeq lists it as uncharacterized. The record is from RefSeq and is a predicted model, not a curated record. The transcript is spliced from 3 exons. Lineage: Eukaryota; Viridiplantae; Streptophyta; Magnoliopsida; Fabales; Fabaceae.